AACGUUGAGUGUUAAGUAUUAGAUAGUGGCGGACGGGUGAGUAACGCGUGGGUAACCUACCCAUAAACCCGGGACAACCCUUGGAAACGAGGGCUAAUACCGGAUAAUCUUUUAGCUUGGCAUCAAGCGAUAAGAAAAGGUGGCCUCUGUAUAUGCUACCGAUUAUGGAUGGACCCGCGUCUGAUUAGCUAGUUGGUGGGGUAAAGGCCUCCCAAGGCGACGAUCAGUAGCCGGCCUGAGAGGGUGAACGGCCACACUGGGACUGAGACACGGCCCAGACUCCUACGGGAGGCAGCAGUGUUUUUCUUCCUCUUUGGACGAAAGUCUGACGGAGCAACGCCGCGUGUAUGAUGAAGGUCUUCGGAUUGUAA
This 371-nucleotide ribosomal RNA is filed under the name uncultured bacterium. Its description in RNAcentral is "bacterial SSU rRNA". It matches the Rfam family "Bacterial small subunit ribosomal RNA", at positions 65 to 428 of the family's 1533-position model. The record is from RNAcentral.